CUCUCUUCUACGCAGCGUCUGAAGUUUGCAUAUUAUUUAUUAUUUCUCUCUCCAGAAACAACUCGCGUGCAUUUUUGUUUAUGAUAAGACUAUAAAGGAGCGUGUGACGCGCCAUUCUAAUGCUGGUGAAUGAUCUCAGCUUCAGAGUGGAUAUUUGACAAGCUCCCUGAUCUCUGCUUUAAUCCAGUUUUCAGACAUUUCUCAUCGUGAUUGUUUAUAUGCAUUUAAAACCCGCAUUUUUAGGAGCUGAACGAUAUAUCUUGUUGGGAUGACAUGCGGGUAUUUUCAUUUUUUAUAGUUUAAAUGAGCACGUGACGCAAUAUUCUUUUUAUGCUGCUGAAUGAUCUGUUCAACGCAAGUAGCGUCUGCCUGCACAAGCGGAGGCUGCAGUUUCGGGACCGCAGUCAUAGGACCGCAGUUAUAGGACCCUAGGUUUUUAGUGACAACGCCACCUAGCGAACUAGAGGACCAACAAAGAUGGAUGACAAGCAGAGUUGAAGUGGAGGAAUUUAAUCGAAUCAUAGACAAACAAUUGAAAAAAAGAGGGGAGAGCAUCCAGUUGCUGCUGCAUACAUCACAAUGAGUCAGUGAAGACGUUGUCCAUGCAGUUCUUAUGUUGUUCACAUCAUUAACAAAUUUGGGUAACACUUUACAAUAAGGUUAAUUAGUUAACAUUAGUUAACUACAUUAAUUGCAUGGACUAAUAAAUAAUAAACUGCACUUAU
This is a long non-coding RNA of Paramisgurnus dabryanus, 725 nucleotides long. RefSeq lists it as uncharacterized. The record is from RefSeq and is a predicted model, not a curated record. Lineage: Eukaryota; Metazoa; Chordata; Actinopteri; Cypriniformes; Cobitidae.